GACGAACGCUGGCGGCGUGCUUAACACAUGCAAGUCGAACGGAAAGGCCCUGCUUUUGUGGGGGGCUCGAGUGGCGAAAGGGUGAGUAACACGUGAGUAACCUGCCCUUGACUUUGGGAUAACUUCAGGAAACUGGGGCUAAUACCGGAUAGGAGCUCCUGCUGCAUGGUGGGGGGUGGAAAGUUUCGGCGGUUGGGGAUGGACUCGCGGCUUAUCAGCUUGUUGGUGGGGUAGUGGCUUACCAAGGCUUUGACGGGUAGCCGGCCUGAGAGGGUGACCGGCCACAUUGGGACUGAGAUACGGCCCAGACUCCUACGGGAGGCAGCAGUGGGGAAUAUUGCACAAUGGGCGGAAGCCUGAUGCAGCAACGCCGCGUGCGGGAUGACGGCCUUCGGGUUGUAAACCGCUUUCGCCUGUGACGAAGCGUGAGUGACGGUAAUGGGUAAAGAAGCACCGGCUAACUACGUG
Molecule: ribosomal RNA, 468 nt
Filed under: uncultured bacterium
Lineage: Bacteria
Description: partial 16S ribosomal RNA
Rfam family: Bacterial small subunit ribosomal RNA
Source: RNAcentral